RNAcentral lists this ribosomal RNA (120 nucleotides) under Pteropus alecto (black flying fox). Lineage: Eukaryota; Metazoa; Chordata; Mammalia; Chiroptera; Pteropodidae. The record is from RNAcentral.
GUCUACAGUCAUGCCACCCUGAACAAGCCCGAUCCUGUCUGAUCUCGGAAGCUAAGUAGGGUCGAGCCUGGUUAGUACUUGGAUGGGAGACCCCCCUAGGAAGACCAGGUGCUGUAGGCG